CCACCAGCUGGCGUUCCCUGGCGUGGGAACGAGAGGCAGGGGCUGCUGGCUGGAGGGA
This 58-nucleotide non-coding RNA is filed under the name Canis lupus familiaris (dog). RNAcentral also lists the same sequence under 2 other names. Lineage: Eukaryota; Metazoa; Chordata; Mammalia; Carnivora; Canidae. The record is from miRBase by way of RNAcentral.